AAGGGUAUAGCUCAGUGGUAGACUGCGUGCUUGGCUAACAUAAGGUCCUGGGUUCAAUCCCCAGUGCCUCUG
Molecule: transfer RNA, 72 nt
Filed under: Camelus bactrianus (Bactrian camel)
Lineage: Eukaryota; Metazoa; Chordata; Mammalia; Artiodactyla; Camelidae
Also listed under: 1 other name
Rfam family: tRNA
About the family: Transfer RNA (tRNA) molecules are approximately 80 nucleotides in length. Their secondary structure includes four short double-helical elements and three loops (D, anti-codon, and T loops).
Source: Rfam by way of RNAcentral